This 423-nucleotide ribosomal RNA is filed under the name uncultured bacterium. RNAcentral's name for it is "bacterial SSU rRNA". It matches the Rfam family "Bacterial small subunit ribosomal RNA", at positions 362 to 777 of the family's 1533-position model. The record is from RNAcentral.
UUUUGGACAAUGGGCGAAAGCCUGAUCCAGCAAUGCCGCGUGUGUGAAGAAGGCCUUCGGGUUGUAAAGCACUUUUGUCCGGAAAGAAAUCCUGAGGGCUAAUAUCCUUCGGGGAUGACGGUACCGGAAGAAUAAGCACCGGCUAACUACGUGCCAGCAGCCGCGGUAAUACGUAGGGUGCGAGCGUUAAUCGGAAUUACUGGGCGUAAAGCGUGCGCAGGCGGUUUGUUAAGACCGAUGUGAAAUCCCCGGGCUCAACCUGGGAACUGCAUUGGUGACUGGCAAGCUAGAGUAUGGCAGAGGGGGGUAGAAUUCCACGUGUAGCAGUGAAAUGCGUAGAGAUGUGGAGGAAUACCGAUGGCGAAGGCAGCCCCCUGGGCCAAUACUGACGCUCAUGCACGAAAGCGUGGGGAGCAAACAGGA